RNAcentral lists this ribosomal RNA (253 nucleotides) under uncultured bacterium. Its description in RNAcentral is "partial 16S ribosomal RNA". It matches the Rfam family "Bacterial small subunit ribosomal RNA", at positions 524 to 776 of the family's 1533-position model. The record is from RNAcentral.
GACAGAGGGUGCAAACGUUGUUCGGAAUUACUGGGCGUAAAGCGCGUGUAGGCGGCUCUGUAAGUCGGGUGUGAAAUCCCACGGCUCAACCGUGGAAGUGCACUCGAAACUACAGGGCUAGAGUCCUGGAGAGGAAGGUUGAAUGCUUGGUGUAGAGGUGAAAUUCGUAGAUAUCAAGCGGAACACCGGUGGCGAAGGCGGCCUUCUGGACAGUGACUGACGCUGAGACGCGAAAGCGUGGGGAGCAAACAGG